UACGUAGGGGGCAAGCGUUGUCCGGAUUUAUUGGGCGUAAAGAGCGUGUAGGCGGUCUGGUAGGUCCGUUGUGAAAACUCGAGGCUCAACCUCGAGACGCCGAUGGAAACCCUCAGACUAGAGUCCGGAAGAGGAGAGUGGAAUUCCUGGUGUAGCGGUGAAAUGCGCAGAUACCAGGAAGAACACCCGUGGCUAAGGCGGCUCUCUAGUACGUGACUGACGCUGAGACGCGAAAGCGUGGGGAGCGAACAGG
This 253-nucleotide ribosomal RNA is filed under the name uncultured bacterium. Its description in RNAcentral is "partial 16S ribosomal RNA". It matches the Rfam family "Bacterial small subunit ribosomal RNA", at positions 524 to 776 of the family's 1533-position model. The record is from RNAcentral.